This 253-nucleotide ribosomal RNA is filed under the name uncultured bacterium. RNAcentral describes it as "partial 16S ribosomal RNA". It matches the Rfam family "Bacterial small subunit ribosomal RNA", at positions 524 to 776 of the family's 1533-position model. The record is from RNAcentral.
UACGGAGGGUGCGAGCGUUGUCCGGAAUCACUGGGCGUAAAGGGCGCGUAGGCGGCGCGGAUAGUCGGCGGUGAAAGCCCGGAGCUCAACUCCGGGUCGGCCGUCGAUACUUCCGGGCUUGAGCACUGUAGAGGCAGAUGGAAUUCCGGGUGUAGCGGUGGAAUGCGUAGAGAUCCGGAAGAACACCGGUGGCGAAGGCGAUCUGCUGGGCAGUUGCUGACGCUGAUGCGCGAAAGCGUGGGGAGCAAACAGG